RNAcentral lists this ribosomal RNA (460 nucleotides) under uncultured bacterium. RNAcentral describes it as "SSU rRNA". It matches the Rfam family "Bacterial small subunit ribosomal RNA", at positions 26 to 518 of the family's 1533-position model. The record is from RNAcentral.
AGAAUCAACGCUGGCGGCGUGCCUAACACAUGCAAGUCGAACGAGAAAGUGGAGCAAUCCAUGAGUAAAGUGGCGCACGGGUGAGUAACACGUGACUAACCUACCCUUGAGUGGGGGGAUAACCUAGGGAAACCUGGGCUAAUACCGCAUAAUAUCGAGAGAUCAAAGGAGCAAUUCGCUUAAGGAGGGGGUCGCGGCUGAUUAGCUAGUUGGUGAGGUAAUGGCUCACCAAGGCUAUGAUCAGUAUCCGGCCUGAGAGGGCGCACGGACACACUGGAACUGAAACACGGUCCAGACUCCUACGGGAGGCAGCAGUGGGGAAUUUUGCGCAAUGGGGGAAACCCUGACGCAGCAACGCCGCGUGGAGGAUGAAGUCCCUUGGGACGUAAACUCCUUUCGAUCGGGACGAUAAUGACGGUACCGGAAGAAGAAGCCCGGCUAACUUCGUGCCAGCAGCCGC